Molecule: long non-coding RNA, 579 nt
Filed under: Trifolium pratense (red clover)
Lineage: Eukaryota; Viridiplantae; Streptophyta; Magnoliopsida; Fabales; Fabaceae
Description: long non-coding RNA (TPRA_LNC008935)
Source: RNAcentral
GAUGUUGCUUCAAAAUGCUCAAUACCUUUUUGUUUAAUCAACAAAAGAAAACCAUUCUUCUGUCAACGUUAAGAGGACAUUUGUAACAUAAAUUUAACAUUCAUUUUCAUAUAUUUAUCUAUUUUAUUUUUACAGCAUUCAUUCAUUGGGGAAAUAGAAAGAAAAAAAAACAGUCAAACAGAUCAGAAACAAAUAAAAAUAAAAACGAGACACACACACACAGAGAGAGAGAGAGAGAGAGAGAGCAACCGACUAGAGAGAGAGGGGGAGAGGUCCGGCGGUGGUUCUGGCUACGGUGGAGGUGUUGGUGUUGAUUUGAUGGAAUGAGUUCUGUUUGUUUUGGAUGAAAAAAUGGGUUAUGUUUGUUAAAGAGAUGGUGAUGAAGGUGGAGGUAGUUUUUUUAUGGUGGUUAAAGAGACGGUGGCGGAGGUAAUCGCAGCAGCAGCAGACGGUGGCGGAGGUAAUCGCAGCAGCAGCAGCAGCAGCAGCAGCAAGUUGCUUCCUUUUCUUUCUCUACUUUGUCUCGUAACCUUUUGCCUCCCCUUUACUUUUUGAUGAUUUGAUUUGGAUAGAUUAGGG